GACAGAGGCCUCGAGCGUUAGGCGGAAUCACUGGGCUUAAAGCGUGUGUAGGCGGUUCGUUAAGUACCUUGUGAAAUCCCACGGCUCAACCGUGGAACGGCUGGGUAUACUGGCGGUCUUGGGCCAUUCAGGGGCGACUGGAACAAGCGGUGGAGCGGUGAAAUGCGUAGAUAUCGCUUGGAACGCCGAAGGUGAAAACAGGUCGCUGGGGAUGUGCUGACGCUGAGACACGAAAGCCAGGGGAGCAAACGGG
RNAcentral lists this ribosomal RNA (253 nucleotides) under uncultured bacterium. Its description in RNAcentral is "partial 16S ribosomal RNA". It matches the Rfam family "Bacterial small subunit ribosomal RNA", at positions 524 to 776 of the family's 1533-position model. The record is from RNAcentral.